GAUGAACGCUGGCGGCGUGCCUAAUACAUGCAAGUCGAGCGAACAGAUAAGGAGCUUGCUCCUUCGACGUUAGCGGCGGACGGGUGAGUAACACGUGGGUAACCUACCUAUAAGACUGGAAUAACUCCGGGAAACCGGGGCUAAUGCCGGAUAACAUUUAGAACCGCAUGGUUCUAAAGUGAAAGAUGGUUUUGCUAUCACUUAUAGAUGGACCCGCGCCGUAUUAGCUAGUUGGUAAGGUAACGGCUUACCAAGGCAACGAUACGUAGCCGACCUGAGAGGGUGAUCGGCCACACUGGAACUGAGACACGGUCCAGACUCCUACGGGAGGCAGCAGUAGGGAAUCUUCCGCAAUGGGCGAAAGCCUGACGGAGCAACGCCGCGUGAGUGAUGAAGGUCUUCGGAUCGUAAAACUCUGUUAUUAGGGGAGAACAAAUGUGUAAGUAACUGUGCACGUCUUGACGGUACCUAAUCAGAAAGCCACGGCUAACUACGUG
RNAcentral lists this ribosomal RNA (497 nucleotides) under uncultured bacterium. RNAcentral's name for it is "partial 16S ribosomal RNA". It matches the Rfam family "Bacterial small subunit ribosomal RNA", at positions 28 to 507 of the family's 1533-position model. The record is from RNAcentral.